UACGUAGGGUGCGAGCGUUGUCCGGAAUUAUUGGGCGUAAAGGGCUCGUAGGCGGUUUGUCGCGUCGGGAGUGAAAACUCAGGGCUUAACCCUGAGCCUGCUUCCGAUACGGGCAGACUAGAGGUAUGCAGGGGAGAGCGGAAUUCCUGGUGUAGCGGUGAAAUGCGCAGAUAUCAGGAGGAACACCCGUGGCUAAGGCGGCUCUCUAGUACGGUACUGACGCUGAGACGCGAAAGCGUGGGGAGCGAACAGG
This 253-nucleotide ribosomal RNA is filed under the name uncultured bacterium. RNAcentral's name for it is "partial 16S ribosomal RNA". It matches the Rfam family "Bacterial small subunit ribosomal RNA", at positions 524 to 776 of the family's 1533-position model. The record is from RNAcentral.